This 482-nucleotide ribosomal RNA is filed under the name uncultured bacterium. RNAcentral describes it as "bacterial SSU rRNA". It matches the Rfam family "Bacterial small subunit ribosomal RNA", at positions 24 to 518 of the family's 1533-position model. The record is from RNAcentral.
UCAGGAUGAACGCUGGCGGCGUGCCUAACACAUGCAAGUCGAGCGGAGAUAGUUGAAGCCUAGCGAUGACUACCUUAGCGGCGGAUGGGUGAGUAACACGUGGGUAACCUGCCCUGUACUGGGGAAUAACAGCUGGAAACGGCUGUUAAUGCCGCAUAUGCGCACGGAGCCGCAUGGCCCUGGGCGGAAAGAUUUAUCGGUACAGGAUGGGCCCGCGCCGGAUUAACUAGUUGGCGGGGUAACAGCCCACCAAGGUGAUGAUCCGUAGCCGACCUGAGAGGGUGACCGGCCACAUUGGGACUGAGACACGGCCCAAACUCCUACGGGAGGCAGCAGUGGGGGAUAUUGCACAAUGGGGGGAACCCUGAUGCAGCGACGCCGCGUGAAGGAUGACGUAUUUCGGUAUGUAAACUUCUAUCAGCGGGGAAGAAGAUGACGGUACCCGACUAAGAAGCCCCGGCUAACUACGUGCCAGCAGCCGC